AUUUCUCAUAUUUUUGCAAAUUUCAUUGAAAGUUUCCGCUACCCAAGUCAUCUUCUUACUAAAAUCUUGUAAAAAAAAACACUCAAUUUUAAAAUAGUUUCAUCAUCUUCUGCACAAUUAGAGUCGUGGGUUUUCAUGAGCUAAAGGGAAAAGCUUAAGUUAGAGUGAGAAAGUAGAGAACAAGAAAAAAGAGUUGACUAGUGGGUGUUGGAGCUUUGACCAAGAAAACGAGAGCCUUGGAUUAGAAAAGUAAAGGAUUUUGGUUUUUUCUUAUUCAUAAAGAGAUUCAAUUGUGGAUUAGUUGAAGCCUUAUCCAUUUCGGAAGUCUCUAUCACCAUUACAAGGUUCAAGAGUAUGUAUUAAGAUUGGUUAUUGUCUCCUAUGAGUAUGAAAUGUACAUAGGUUGAGUUCUUAUAACACCCUACACCCGACCUAGAAGUUAUGACUCGAGUGUGAAGAUUUAGAAAAUGAAUAAUCAGAAAAUAAUAAUUUUUAGC
Molecule: long non-coding RNA, 497 nt
Organism: Gossypium raimondii (Peruvian cotton)
Lineage: Eukaryota; Viridiplantae; Streptophyta; Magnoliopsida; Malvales; Malvaceae
Exons: 3
Source: RefSeq, a predicted model, not a curated record